GUGGAGCAUGUGGAGCAAUUUGACUCAACGCGGGGAAUCUUACUAGGUCCGGACCGAUUCUAUGAUCGUCGUACUGUGGGGUGCUACGUGAUUACUGGAUGAGUGGUGCAUGGCCGUUCUUAGUUCGUGGUGUCAGUUGUCUACUUAAUUGUCAUUGGUUCUCGUAUCUUACGGUACAGAACUGAUAACGAACGAGAUCGAGGCCCGUGGUUGBGUCGUUGGUUAUUAUUGUGUGCGGCAUUAACCACGGGGAUCGCGUAAUACUCCACGGUACGAUCGAAAGACUCGGCAAUAACAGGUCUGUGAUGCCCUCAGAUGUUCUAGGCUGCACACGUGCUACAUUGUGGUUUCGCGUAGUGUGUGUGUGCAUAGAACUGAUAAGAUCCCCCGCACCGAGUCUCAAUUAAUCACUUGGUUGGACUCACCGAUUGUAUAAUUAUUCGGUAUACUA
This 451-nucleotide ribosomal RNA is filed under the name Amphistegina lobifera. Its description in RNAcentral is "SSU rRNA". The record is from RNAcentral. Lineage: Eukaryota; Foraminifera; Rotaliida; Amphisteginidae.